GGAGAGGUGGCCGAGCGGUUUAAGGCACUCGCCUGGAAAGCGGGCAUAGGGUCAAACCUAUCGUGAGUUCGAAUCUCAUCCUCUCCGCCA
This 90-nucleotide transfer RNA is filed under the name Alphaproteobacteria bacterium. Its description in RNAcentral is "tRNA-Ser". It matches the Rfam family "tRNA". Rfam says of the family: Transfer RNA (tRNA) molecules are approximately 80 nucleotides in length. Their secondary structure includes four short double-helical elements and three loops (D, anti-codon, and T loops). Lineage: Bacteria; Pseudomonadati; Pseudomonadota; Alphaproteobacteria. RNAcentral also lists the same sequence under 2 other names. The record is from RNAcentral.